RNAcentral lists this ribosomal RNA (521 nucleotides) under uncultured bacterium. RNAcentral describes it as "bacterial SSU rRNA". It matches the Rfam family "Bacterial small subunit ribosomal RNA", at positions 988 to 1509 of the family's 1533-position model. The record is from RNAcentral.
CCAGAGAACUUCCAGAGAUGGAUUGGUGCCUUCGGAAACNCUUGAGACAGGUGCUGCAUGGCUGUCGUCAGCUCGUGUUGUGAAAUGUUGGGUUAAGUCCCGCAACGAGCGCAACCCUUAUCCUUUGUUGCCAGCGGUUAGGCCGGGAACUCAAAGGAGACUGCCAGUGAUAAACUGGAGGAAGGUGGGGAUGACGUCAAGUCAUCAUGGCCCUUACGAGUAGGGCUACACACGUGCUACAAUGGCGCAUACAAAGAGAAGCGACCUCGCGAGAGCAAGCGGACCUCAUAAAGUGCGUCGUAGUCCGGAUUGGAGUCUGCAACUCGACUCCAUGAAGUCGGAAUCGCUAGUAAUCGUGGAUCAGAAUGCCACGGUGAAUACGUUCCCGGGCCUUGUACACACCGCCCGUCACACCACGGGAGUGGGUUGCAAAAGAAGUAGGUAGCUUAACCUUCAGGAGGGCGCUUACCACUUUGUGAUUCAUGACUGGGGUGAAGUCGUAACAAGGUAAGCGUAGUGCU